Molecule: unclassified non-coding RNA, 202 nt
Filed under: uncultured fungus
Lineage: Eukaryota; Fungi
Description: sequence contains ITS1
Source: RNAcentral
UUAUUUUGUUAUGGUUUUGUUACAUUCUUUGACCUGGUGUAUAGUAAAGGUAAUAGCGAAUCCUAAUCAGACUUUGCAGUCCUUUCAGUUACGCUUUAAAUUUGGUGCACAAGUGUUAGAGAGUGGAGGUCAGGCCCUCGCUGGUUAAAGCAAGGCACCCUAAAAUUCACUAAUGAUCCUUCCGCAGGUUCACCUACGGAAA